UGUCACUUUAGAAAAAUAAACAGAGUGAUAUUGCACAUAUUACACAUAUACAGUGAUUGUGAUUAUGCACAUUUUUUGUUUAAGUAGAUCAUGAGUGGGUCCCUAGGGGGCUUCUGUUGAGUAUGGUGCAUGGUACACUGGUGAUGUCUGUUCAGGCCCAGGGAGGGUGGUCAUGUGUGAGCAAGCUUGGGAACCUGUACAGGUCUUGAGUUAGAUCAAGCGAUUUCUGAACUUGGGUGUCG
Molecule: non-coding RNA, 242 nt
Organism: Pelobates cultripes (western spadefoot toad)
Lineage: Eukaryota; Metazoa; Chordata; Amphibia; Anura; Pelobatidae
Source: the annotation of a GenBank genome assembly